RNAcentral lists this microRNA precursor (117 nucleotides) under Podarcis lilfordi (Lilford's wall lizard). The record is from RNAcentral. Lineage: Eukaryota; Metazoa; Chordata; Lepidosauria; Squamata; Lacertidae.
AACUAAGUUUGUUAUUGGUAUGAGCUUUUGUGUGCAUGCACACUUCUUCAGAUAUGAUCUGAAUCUGAAGCAGUGUGCAUGCACACGAAAACUCAUGCCAAUAACAAACUUAGUUGG